This 466-nucleotide ribosomal RNA is filed under the name Salmonella enterica subsp. enterica serovar Anatum. Its description in RNAcentral is "bacterial SSU rRNA". It matches the Rfam family "Bacterial small subunit ribosomal RNA", at positions 337 to 795 of the family's 1533-position model. Lineage: Bacteria; Pseudomonadati; Pseudomonadota; Gammaproteobacteria; Enterobacterales; Enterobacteriaceae. The record is from RNAcentral.
UCCUACGGGUGGCAGCAGUGGGGAAUCUUCCGCAAUGGACGAAAGUCUGACGGAGCAACGCCGCGUGAGUGAUGAAGGAUUUCGGUCUGUAAAGCUCUGUUGUUUAUGACGAACGUGCAGUGUGUGAACAAUGCAUUGCAAUGACGGUAGUAAACGAGGAAGCCACGGCUAACUACGUGCCAGCAGCCGCGGUAAUACGUAGGUGGCGAGCGUUGUCCGGAAUUAUUGGGCGUAAAGAGCAUGUAGGCGGCUUAAUAAGUCGAGCGUGAAAAUGCGGGGCUCAACCCCGUAUGGCGCUGGAAACUGUUAGGCUUGAGUGCAGGAGAGGAAAGGGGAAUUCCCAGUGUAGCGGUGAAAUGCGUAGAUAUUGGGAGGAACACCAGUGGCGAAGGCGCCUUUCUGGACUGUGUCUGACGCUGAGAUGCGAAAGCCAGGGUAGCGAACGGGAUUAGAUACCCGGGUAGUC